CACCGGCGGCUCGAGUGGUGGCCACUUUUAUUGGGUCUAAAGCGUCCGUAGCAGGCUUGGCAAGUCCCCUGGGAAAUCUGGCGGCUUAACCGUCAGGCGUCCAGAGGAUACUGCCAGGCUUGGGACCGGGAGAGGUGAGAGGUACCUCAGGGGUAGGGGUGAAAUCUUGUGAUCCCUGAGGGACCACCAGUGGCGAAGGCGUCUCACUAGAACGGGUCCGACGGUCAGGGACGAAAGCUGGGGGCACGAACCGG
This 254-nucleotide ribosomal RNA is filed under the name uncultured microorganism. Its description in RNAcentral is "partial 16S ribosomal RNA". It matches the Rfam family "Archaeal small subunit ribosomal RNA", at positions 474 to 727 of the family's 1478-position model. The record is from RNAcentral.